Molecule: long non-coding RNA, 416 nt
Filed under: Rattus norvegicus (Norway rat)
Lineage: Eukaryota; Metazoa; Chordata; Mammalia; Rodentia; Muridae
Description: long non-coding RNA NONRATT008793
Source: RNAcentral
AGGCUCACCAGAACCCAGGCAGUUAACUGAAGAUCAGCCCUCCGUGACCUUGCCAGUGACAGUUCCCUUGGCCUUGAGCCACUGAGAACUUUGGGGAUAUUGCCUCUUCCUCAAGAUCCGGGGAGCUCACUCCUCGAACAGGUGAAAUCUACAUUGCAGUAAGAAAAGAAUGGUUUAUUAUUGCCAGUUUUGGCCUCCUCAGUGCUCUCACACUCUGCUACAUGAUCAUCAGAGCCACAACUAGCUUGAAUGCUAAUGAGGUAGAAUGGUUUUGAAGAAGGAAAACACUGCUUUCUUACUGAUUGUCUUGAAGGGAAAAAGAACCUAUUUUUGUGCAUCAUUUACCAAUAAUGCCACUCAAGCAUUUAUUUUUUAGUACAUUUUAUUUUUCAUAAAAUUGCUAAUGCCAAAUAAAA